UGGGGAAUAUUGCACAAUGGGCGCAAGCCUGAUGCAGCAACGCCGCGUGAGGGACGACGGCCUUCGGGUUGUAAACCUCUUUUAGUAGGGAAGAAGCGAAAGUGACGGUACCUGCAGAAAAAGCACCGGCUAACUACGUGCCAGCAGCCGCGGUAAUACGUAGGGUGCAAGCGUUAUCCGGAAUUAUUGGGCGUAAAGAGCUCGUAGGCGGUUUGUCGCGUCUGCUGUGAAAACUGGAGGCUCAACCUCCAGCCUGCAGUGGGUACGGGCAAACUAGAGUGCGGUAGGGGAGAUUGGAAUUCCUGGUGUAGCGGUGGAAUGCGCAGAUAUCAGGAGGAACACCGAUGGCGAAGGCAGAUCUCUGGGCCGUAACUGACGCUGAGGAGCGAAAGCAUGGGGAGCGAACAGGAUUAGAUACCCGCGUAGUCCCUGAGCGGGCUGGCAAGGCGCAU
This 452-nucleotide ribosomal RNA is filed under the name uncultured bacterium. Its description in RNAcentral is "bacterial SSU rRNA". It matches the Rfam family "Bacterial small subunit ribosomal RNA", at positions 355 to 825 of the family's 1533-position model. The record is from RNAcentral.